RNAcentral lists this long non-coding RNA (278 nucleotides) under Setaria italica (foxtail millet). RNAcentral describes it as "long non-coding RNA (SITA_LNC002668)". Lineage: Eukaryota; Viridiplantae; Streptophyta; Magnoliopsida; Poales; Poaceae. The record is from RNAcentral.
AGGGAGGGGACGGCGGCGGUGAGGGUGAGGAGGAUCAUGCCGACGAAGGAGGCGAUGGAGGCGAGGCCGAUGGUGGUGUAGCGGCCGAGGUAGGAGUCGCUGAGAAAGGCGCCGAGGAUAGGGGCGAGGUUGACGGUGCCGUCCCAGAGGCUGAGCAGCGUGGCGGCGCUGGCGCUCUUCAUGCCGUAGACGGUGGUGAGGUAGACGAGCAGGUUGGCCGUGGUGCCGAUGGUGCCAAGCUUCUCGCAUGUCUCGUUCCCUGUGCACACAACACAUCG